RNAcentral lists this transfer RNA (68 nucleotides) under Stegodyphus mimosarum. It matches the Rfam family "tRNA". Rfam says of the family: Transfer RNA (tRNA) molecules are approximately 80 nucleotides in length. Their secondary structure includes four short double-helical elements and three loops (D, anti-codon, and T loops). The record is from Rfam by way of RNAcentral. Lineage: Eukaryota; Metazoa; Arthropoda; Arachnida; Araneae; Eresidae.
GCCUUCGUGUAAUGGUAGCACACUCGACGCCUAUUCAAGAGGUCCAGGUUCGAGUCCCGGCGAGGGCA